Molecule: non-coding RNA, 107 nt
Organism: Prevotella sp. CAG:255
Lineage: Bacteria; Pseudomonadati; Bacteroidota; Bacteroidia; Bacteroidales; Prevotellaceae
Source: Rfam
CAAAGACGGGUAAGUCUUGUACGGCCAGCUCCCUUCGAAUCCUCCAGGACGGGAACGUAGCAAAGGUAGUUGGUUGUAGCGGCGCGAUACAAGUAGCUUGCCCACCC